UACGGAGGGAGCUAGCGUUGUUCGGAAUUACUGGGCGUAAAGAGUACGUAGGCGGUGAUUCAAGUCAGAGGUGAAAGCCUGGAGCUCAACUCCAGAACUGCCUUUGAAACUAGAUCGCUAGAAUUAUGGAGAGGUUAGUGGAAUUCCGAGUGUAGAGGUGAAAUUCGUAGAUAUUCGGAAGAACACCAGUGGCGAAGGCGACUAACUGGACAUAUAUUGACGCUGAGGUACGAAAGCGUGGGGAGCAAACAGG
Molecule: ribosomal RNA, 253 nt
Filed under: bacterium
Lineage: Bacteria
Also listed under: 2 other names
Description: partial 16S ribosomal RNA
Rfam family: Bacterial small subunit ribosomal RNA
Source: RNAcentral